RNAcentral lists this ribosomal RNA (301 nucleotides) under uncultured bacterium. RNAcentral's name for it is "partial 16S ribosomal RNA". It matches the Rfam family "Bacterial small subunit ribosomal RNA", at positions 509 to 807 of the family's 1533-position model. The record is from RNAcentral.
CAGCAGCCACGGUAACACGAAGGGUGCAAGCGUUAAUCGGAAUUACUGGGCGUAAAGCGCGCGUAGGUGGUUUGGUAAGAUGGAUGUGAAAUCCCCGGGCUCAACCUGGGAACUGCAUCCAUAACUGCCUGACUAGAGUACGGUAGAGGGUGGUGUAAUUUCCUGUGUAGCGGUGAAAUGCGUAGAUAUAGGAAGGAACACCAGUGGCGAAGGCGACCACCUGGACUGAUACUGACACUGAGGUGCGAAAGCGUGGGGAGCAAACAGGAUUAGAUACCCCAGUAGUCCCUGUCUCUUAUAC